This 28-nucleotide non-coding RNA is filed under the name Homo sapiens (human). Lineage: Eukaryota; Metazoa; Chordata; Mammalia; Primates; Hominidae. The record is from RNAcentral.
UAUGCCUGUUACAAGAGAGUAUGGUGGU